UUUCCGUAGGUGAACCUGCGGAAGGAUCAUUAUUGAAUUUAAUGUAGAGUUGGUUGUAGCUGGCCCAAUUUAAUUAUUUUGGGCAUGUGCACACUUUCUCUUUCAUCCACACACACCUGUGCACCUGUGAGACAGAAGUGGGACUUUUAAUUUAAUUUAAUUGGACCCUCUGUCUACUCAAUCCACACAAACCCAAUUUAUUUUAAAAUGAAUGUAACUGGAUGUAACACAUCUAAUACUAAGUUUCAACAACGGAUCUCUUGGCUCUCGCAUCGAUGAAGAACGCAGC
Molecule: unclassified non-coding RNA, 289 nt
Filed under: uncultured fungus
Lineage: Eukaryota; Fungi
Description: sequence contains ITS1, 5.8S rRNA gene
Rfam family: 5.8S ribosomal RNA (bases 241-289)
Source: RNAcentral